RNAcentral lists this long non-coding RNA (608 nucleotides) under Sus scrofa (pig). RNAcentral's name for it is "lncRNA (ENSSSCG00015023767.1)". Lineage: Eukaryota; Metazoa; Chordata; Mammalia; Artiodactyla; Suidae. The record is from RNAcentral.
CCAGGCUCUGCCCGCCCUGCAGGAAGCUGAGGGCCUCUUGCUGGAGGUGAUCAACCCAGACCUUGGUCAGUGCCCCUCUCCCUGCUUCCCUCCAUCUCUGUCCUCUGACAAUGCUGCCUCUUCCAGGAAGCCCCCCAAGGUGGCCCCAGCUCCAGAGCUCUGCUCCUACAGUAGAUUGUGGGCCAGGAUCCCUCGCCCAAGACAGUUCUGCAGGCCUGGCUUUGCCUUCUCAGGGGUUUGUGGUCUAGAGGGGUGGGGAGCCACCCCAGCCAUCAACUCCCUGCUUUGUUCUGAACCUCAGGUCAGCCUGGCAUCACCCUCCCCAGCUAUGCUGUGGUUCUCCUCGUUCUGGGCUUCCUGCUCACUGCACUCGCCCUUGUCCUGGUGCUGAAGAGGAAGACCUGCUUCCGGCAGUUCAGCCAUACACAGUGAGGUACAGAGGUCAGCCCUGAAGAGCCGAACGUGGCAAGAUGAUGGCCUGCGGAAGAUGCAGGAAGGGGAACAAAGCUGGCUCCCUCCCGCCUGGCCUGGCUUCGUGGUGGGGCUGGAGGUAUAUGGGUCUCAAGACAAACUCCUGUCCUUUGGGGUAUGGAAAAUUAAAUGACAAG